This 164-nucleotide ribosomal RNA is filed under the name Lathyrus ledebourii. RNAcentral's name for it is "5.8S ribosomal RNA". It matches the Rfam family "5.8S ribosomal RNA". From Rfam's summary of the family: 5.8S ribosomal RNA (5.8S rRNA) is a component of the large subunit of the eukaryotic ribosome. It is transcribed by RNA polymerase I as part of the 45S precursor that also contains 18S and 28S rRNA. Functionally, it is thought that 5.8S rRNA may be involved in ribosome translocation. The record is from RNAcentral. Lineage: Eukaryota; Viridiplantae; Streptophyta; Magnoliopsida; Fabales; Fabaceae.
AGAAUGACUCUCGGCAACGGAUAUCUAGGCUCUUGCAUCGAUGAAGAACGUAGCGAAAUGCGAUACUUGGUGUGAAUUGCAGAAUCCCGUGAACCAUCGAGUCUUUGAACGUAAGUUGCGCCCGAUGCCAUUAGGUUGAGGGCACGUCUGCCUGGGUGUCACAU